RNAcentral lists this ribosomal RNA (702 nucleotides) under uncultured bacterium. Its description in RNAcentral is "bacterial SSU rRNA". It matches the Rfam family "Bacterial small subunit ribosomal RNA", at positions 28 to 776 of the family's 1533-position model. The record is from RNAcentral.
AACGAACGCUGGCGGCAGGCCUAACACAUGCAAGUCGAGCGAAGCCUUCGGGCUUAGCGGCGGACGGGUUAGUAACGCGUGGGAACGUACCCUUUUCUACGGAAUAGUCUCGGGAAACUGAGGGUAAUACCGUAUACGCCCUUCGGGGGAAAGAUUUAUCGGAGAAGGAUCGGCCCGCGUUAGAUUAGAUAGUUGGUGGGGUAAUGGCCUACCAAGUCUACGAUCUAUAGCUGGUUUGAGAGGAUGAUCAGCAACACUGGGACUGAGACACGGCCCAGACUCCUACGGGAGGCAGCAGUGGGGAAUCUUAGACAAUGGGCGCAAGCCUGAUCUAGCCAUGCCGCGUGAGUGAAGAAGGCCCUAGGGUCGUAAAGCUCUUUCGCCUGUGAAGAUAAUGACUGUAGCAGGUAAAGAAACCCCGGCUAACUCCGUGCCAGCAGCCGCGGUAAUACGGAGGGGGUUAGCGUUGUUCGGAAUUACUGGGCGUAAAGCGCGCGUAGGCGGAUCAGCAAGUUAGGGGUGAAAUCCCGGGGCUCAACCCCGGAACUGCCCUUAAAACUGUUGGUCUUGAGUUCGAGAGAGGUGAGUGGAAUUCCGAGUGUAGAGGUGAAAUUCGUAGAUAUUCGGAGGAACACCAGUGGCGAAGGCGGCUCACUGGCUCGAUACUGACGCUGAGGUGCGAAAGUGUGGGGAGCAAACAGG